This 560-nucleotide ribosomal RNA is filed under the name uncultured Glomus. RNAcentral's name for it is "SSU rRNA". It matches the Rfam family "Eukaryotic small subunit ribosomal RNA", at positions 546 to 1106 of the family's 1831-position model. Lineage: Eukaryota; Fungi; Glomeromycota; Glomeromycetes; Glomerales; Glomeraceae. The record is from RNAcentral.
AAUUGGAGGGCAAGUCUGGUGCCAGCAGCCGUGGUAAUUCCAGCUCCAAUAGCGUAUAUUAAAGUUGUUGCAGUUAAAAAGCUCGUAGUUGAAUUUCGGGAUCAAUAUUUCGGUCAUGCCGUUGGUAUGCACUGUUAUCAUUGAUUUCUCACCUUCUAAAGAACCGUAAUGCCAUUAAUUUGGUGUUACGGGGAAUUAGGACUGUUACCUUGAAAAAAUUAGAGUGUUUAAAGCAGGCUCACGCUUGAAUACAUUAGCAUGGAAUAAUGAAAUAGGACAUCCGAUUCUAUUUUGUUGGUUUCUAGGAUCGAUGUAAUGAUUAAUAGGGAUAGUUGGGGGCAUUAGUAUUCAAUUGUCAGAGGUGAAAUUCUUGGAUUUAUUGAAGACUAACUACUGCGAAAGCAUUUGCCAAGGAUGUUUUCAUUAAUCAAGAACGAAAGUUAGGGGAUCGAAGACGAUCAGAUACCGUCGUAGUCUUAACCAUAAACUAUGCCGACUAGGGAUCGGAUGAUGUUAAUUUUUUAAUGACUCAUUCGGCGCCUUACGGGAAACCAAAGUGU